Molecule: long non-coding RNA, 6540 nt
Filed under: Ananas comosus (pineapple)
Lineage: Eukaryota; Viridiplantae; Streptophyta; Magnoliopsida; Poales; Bromeliaceae
Description: long non-coding RNA (ACOM_LNC013275)
Source: RNAcentral
GAGAGAGAGAGAGAGAGAGAACUAGACUAGAAUACUGUUAAUAGCACCAAGUGAUUGGUGCUAUUAAGUUUUCGGACCUUGGAUGAAACGAUGUACGGUUAGAAUGAUGGUGGUCCCCGAGGGUUGAGUAGGUGAUUGAUUGAAUAGUAUGAUCUAACGGGUGAAAAUAAUAAAAAAAAGUAGAUCUAGCGGUAGAAAAUUUGGUAACACCAAAUGCUUGGUACUAUCGAUCGAUAACAUAGUAGCCGGACUAUGAAUGCUAUUGGUAGCAAACGAGCUCCGUUGCCACCUAUUUAUUUUCGAUGAUGGAGCCUCCAAAUCGACGAUCGACACCGUUGAACAUGAUCUAUACCACUUGAAGUAUCUAGAAACUAAAUUUUAAAUCUUUUCGACAUCAUUGACCUAAUGAUCAAAGGGUUUCAAAUUUUAUAAUUUUAAUGGUUGAUAUGAGACGUUUUUUCGUUUAACGGUGUAAAGAUAUCUAAAUCAAUUGAAUUCUGGUUAAAAUUUUUUAAAAUUAUUUAGAAUAAGAUCUAUACUCUCGAUCUUGAUUACAAGAUUCCCAUCAUCACUUUUUAAAAGAUAUUCGUGUUUAGCCGUUCAUUUUGUGUCCACUUGAUGGGCAAGAGAACAAUAUCAAAAAAGCAUGAAAUUUGGUUUCUAGAUACUUCAAGUGGUAUGUAGAUCAUGUUCAACGGUGCCGAUCGUCGAUUUGGAGGCUCCAUCAUUGAAAAUAAAUGGGCGGCAACAGAGUCCGUUUGCUACCGAUAACAUUCCAGCUCAACUCUCUCUGUCUCUAUAUAUAGUUAUACACACACACAUUUAAAUUCAUCAUAAAAUCCUAAUGAUUUAUAAUUGUUUAAGAUAAUGUGCUGCACCAAUAAGAUGAUUUUAAUUCUUCUAAAUGAAUGUUAGACGUCUUUUCAAACUUUGAGAAACUAAUUGAUAAUUUGCUUUCGAGUAAAUAUGAGAGAUAUUCUAAGUUACCUCUCCAACAAAACAAGCCAAAAAUGAGAUAUUCCUAGGUAGUAUUAUUAUUAUUUUAAUAAGUAUGCUAAAGAAGCACUAUGUAUGUUUCUAAAUUCAAAAAAAAAAAGAAAAAAGAUAUUUUUGUGUAAUAUUGUAAGUUCUGCUUCUCGAAAGCAGAAGUAUGCUUCACUGUUUUAAUUUUCAAUAAUUUUCUCUAAUAAUAUUCUUCUAUCAUGUGGCAGAUCUUUAUAGAGGGUUCUGUCGUUUACUUAAAAAUUCAUAUUCUAAUUUCUAUCUCAGACUUCCUUUGUUGCUAUGAAUACUACUUGAUCGAACAGUGCUACUCUUUACCACAAAGACAAACAACUUGUUCAAAAGUUGUCUUAGGAAUAAAGAGCACUCACAAAAAUAAAGGAAAAAAAAAAGGAAAAAAAAAGAUAAGGAAUUGUAAAGAUUAAUUGGUGUUGGCGCCUUAAAAAUCGUGCCACGUGGUGAACCGGUAUGUACCACAAGAAUAGCCUUUGAAGCCAGAGAGGAGCAACAUAUGGUGCGCCAGGAGCAGAGAAAGUGCACCUAAAACCAAAAAGCAUGCAGUUGAAGCUUAUACAAUUAGGAUCUGCAGAUAGUGGCCCACAAAAUCAGGGAUGUGGCUCAUCAUGGAAAUAACUGAAUAACAACAGGUGAAAUUAUAAAUAGAUAAGAAACGUUUGACAUAGAGGUAUUUUUCUCUGUGAACGAGAAGACCAAUUUAUUUUUUCUUUCAUUUUUCACGUUCUAGGAGUAGUCUAUUUGCAAUAUUUUCAUUUGUCUUUGCAUUUACUGUUUUUUCCUAGGAGUAGUUUUAGGAUAGUUUCUCUCCACAUUGAACGCCUUAGUAGCGAUUCUCUCUUGUAAACAGUGUUCCUUUGUUGCAAUACACAUAUAUCAACAUUAUUCGGCUCAUUAGCCGAAUAGAAGUUACUGUGUGAAAUUAUUCUUUUAUUUUAAUAUACAUAUAUCAACACCAUUCGGUUCAUCAGCCGAACUGAAGUUACUGUAUGAGAUUGAACUCGGCUGAUUUGAUUCUUCAUUAGUCGAAUCGCUUGAUUCGACGGUGGAAGCAGACUUCGAGGGUCAUCAUCAGUAGCUGCUUCAUUCCUUAGCGUGCUUCCCGAAGGAAGGUAUUGACUAAGUUAGCGGUUAAGAAAAUCGGCUCGCAGCGACUGAAUUUCCACAGUGUCCAAUCUCUCUCUUUCUUUCUCUCUCUCUACCAAUUAUCUUGUAUCAUUUUGCUCUUACACUAAGACCAUACCUUGAAGGUUGGCUGAUUUUGACAUCUAAAAACGACCUUGGGAGUACUGUUGAGAAUAUAUAGUAUUUUGAAGAGUCAAGAAGCAUAAUAUUCUUAUUUUCUUAUAGAAAGAGGAUUGCACAUACUAAAUCUUUCGCAUCCUUCAAAUUUAUUAAAUUAGUAUAGGCCUAUACUUCGCGAAGGGUAGACAAUAUUUGAGCCAAUUAAGAUAGUCUUAUGUACAUUAUAACUUUUUAAUUAGUAUUUUCUUAACUUUCAAUAUUUAUAGAGUUAAAUUAUUUUAAUAAUUUUAUUAAAAAUUUAAUCAAAUUUUGUAAUUUUGAUAGUUAUUUUAUAAUAAAUCUUUUAACUAAAAAGUUAAAAUUGAUUGGCUUAUUUCAAGUUAAAAUUGUUACAUGCACCUAGUGCAUAUUGAUAUUUUAUACACUGCAACUUAUAUAAGAUGACUAAUGUUUCAAUAUCGAAAAUUAAUUAAAUAUAACUUAUUUACAAAAUCUAUUAAUUUAAAUUAUGUUUAAUGAAUUAAAAUCUCUAUUAAAAGGCGUUGAACAUAUGGUGUAUGCACAAAAAUACGUCCAGUGUAGAGAGUGCUUUAUUUUGUGCAUAUAUAAUAUAUAAUUCUAAAGGAGUGGAGAAAUCUUUGCUUGCACCUGCAUGGUGCACACUAAUAAUUUUUUAUAUACUCUAUAAAAUAUUAUAUGGUUGGAAUAUUUGGUAAUUAAUAUUGUAAAUAAAACAUAAUUUAAUAUCAUAUAAUAUAAAAUAUUUAAAUAAUUUAUUAUACUAUUAAAAUUUUAUCGUUAAUGAAUAUUUUAGAAUAAAUUUAUGGUGCAAUAGGCAUAUUAAUAAUUUUAUAAGACAUGUGGCAAUUCUCUAUCGUCUAAUACUUUAAUGGGCAAUGUGGCUUCAUGAAGAAUUGAAGAUUUGUUUUGGUGAUGUGAUCCAACCACUAAGUUAUAUAUUUUAUAAAUUAUAGAUUGUAGAUUUUUCAAUGAAUUGGCAUAUUAUUUUUUAUCCAGAAUUUAGCUUUUAUCCUGUAGUGUACUGAAAAAGCAACAGCUACUUGGUAGGGCAUGGAUAAGGAGAGAGAGAGAAAAGUGAAAUUUGGCUAAUCAUUGUUUUAAUGAGCUCUUAGAUUAAUUCGGUGCUAGCGAUUUAAUUUGCCUCAUCACAAGAGACAUGGCAACCUUUUUUUAAAAAAUAAAAUAAAACAAGAUACAAUAGAUAUGACAUUAAUUGUUUUAAAGAAAAGGACAAUAAUUUAUUAUUAUUCAUUAAAUAUAUAGAAAGAUGGUGCUGAAUCUUAUACUGAGAAUAAAUUAUUUUAAGUCAAUUUGCUUUAAAAAUUUAUUGACUUUUGUUUUUUUUCGUAAAAAAAUGUCAUUUUUAAAUUUUGCAUAUCAGGUUUGAAUUUUUAGUAAAUUGACCAAAUUACUCUUACUCAUCUUUUCUCUCUCCUUUCUUUCUCUCAUUUGUUUCUCUUGGGCCUCUUCAUUUCCCUUUUUCUUAUCGUUCUUUUCUCUCUUUCUCCUUCUACUUUCCGUUCCUUUUUUUCCUUUUCCACUGCCCCAAUCUGCUCCUCUCUCUUACCUUCCCACAUCUCUACCAAUAUCGAUAAUGGCGAUACGGGUUCAUAUACGACACAGAUCACAAGAUUUUGAAGAUGACGAGAAGAAAAAGCACGUUGCGGUAGGAGUGACAAAGGGCAAGGAAGAGGGGCUUGUUAGCGAAAAAUAAUACAGAGGUGUAAUAAAAAGAAAAAAAAGAAUAAAAUGAGAAAUAUAUAUAUUUUCUUUCUUUUGGAAAGGUCACCAUGUGCCACAGUUGCUACAAAAAAAGCCAACAAAUAGGAAAGAAAGAAGAAGAAUAAGAAAAAGAAGUUGCAUUGUUUGAGAUGAAGUUGUACCAUUUGAGAUUUAAGUUGCACUAUUCAAAACUAUUUAAAACUAAGUUGUAACUUUUCAAACGGUGUAACUUAAGUCUCAAACAAUACAACUUAGUCUUAAAUAGUAUAACUUCUAUAUUUUACGGUGCAACUUAAUCUCAAAUAAUGCAACUUAAUCUCAAACAGUAUAACUUUUUAUUUUUAUUUUUUACUAUGACUACUAUUUUUUUUCUUCUUCUUUCUUCCCUAUUUUUUGGGCUUUUUUGUAGUGGCCGAGGCACAAAAUGAACUUCCUAGGUUAAAAAAAAUAUAUGUUUUUUCUUAUAUUUUUAUUUUUUUUAUUCUUUCUUCUUAUAUUUAUCCACUGAUAGCAUUACUUUUCAUGACCGCACACCCUUCCUAGCCCUCUGCCCCCACCACUGCUGCCUUCGCAUCGAUGCGCUCUCCCUCCUUGUUAUCCCCAAAUCCUGCGGCACUCUUCUUGUGGCCGUCGCCGUCCACAUCUGCGUUCUCUUUUGUAGCCUUACCUUCAGAAUUUGUGCCAAGUCCUAGCCAGCGUCACUACCACCGGUGUGGAUGGAGGUGUGCAAGCGGUGGGAGAGAGGAGCAUGACAUCGACGUGGGGGCCGCAGUGGAGGAGGAGGAGGGAGAGAAAGCGGAAGAAAAAAAAAGGAAAAAGAAACUACGAGGAGAAGGGAGACGAAGAGUACGGAGAAAAAAGAAUGAGAGAGAAAGGAGAAAGAAAGAGGAAUACGAGUAGUUCGAUCAAGAGUAUUUUGGUCAGUUUACUAAAAAUUCAAAUCUAGUAUUCAAAAUUCAAAAAAGUGGUCUGAUUUUGCAAAAAUGCUAAAGUAGUGAAUUUUUUUUUAUGCAAAUUAGUCAAUCUUUUUUGAGAUUUUAAUAUUAAAAUAAGUUAAUAAGACUGUACUGAUAGUCUUUGAAUGAGUAAUGUGUAAGAUUUAUAUCAUAUAAUAGCUAUAUUGAUGGCAUCACUCAAGCGAGAACAAUCAGUAAACCAAAAAGGGAGUUACUUUGUGCGUGUAAAAUAGGUAUUACUAUUAUAUAUCUACCGUAAAGUAGAAAACUAUCUAAUAAUGAGAUUAGUUAAAUGAUGAGAAAAAAAAUCCAAACAUUUUCUCUUUUAGAUUAUUCAUGGAUUUUUUGCAAAUAAAUCACUUCAAAUUGCUAAAUUAUAUGUUUACUCCACUAAAUAUAUACUAGUAUAAAAUGUCCUUAUAGCAUCAAUAAACAAAUUUAUAUACUUAUGCCUUAGUUGUUCCUAAGUAGAUGCUCGGGCUUUGGUACAAAUUAGGACAAGUAGCUGAUGUUUUUUGUUUUGAGAUUAGGGCAAAUUAAGUUAUCCAUUGCAGUUCUCUAUUGCAAUACAACUCCUGGCCACUGGAUGCAUAGUCUGAGAUAAAUGGCUAGAAACCAUGUCUUUUGUGAAAAAAAAACCUAAUUAAACGCUGUUUAUUUUAUUGUAAUGGAGGGAAUUGUUGUAACAAAAGUUAUUUUAUAGAAGUCACUAAUUAUAUCAUUCUCAUUUGCUUGUUUGUUUGUUUCCAGGUCACUGCAAAGAAAGCCUAAAUUUACUUACCACAGUUAAUCCUUCUAAUAUUACAUUAAUUAGUUUAUCUUGAUUAUAAUUCAACUUAAGUGACUGCAAAAUUAUUGAGGGUGAAGUUACUUAUGCCUGACUAAUGGAUGAAGAAUCAUUGAACUUUAAAAGCAUGCAAGGAUAAAAGCACAGUAAACUGCACUGUUAGCCCCUAAACUAUUUUCUUGAGUUUUGGGUUUUAAGUAAUGAAAUGCCUUGUUUAAUAGAUUAAGUACUGGUUCUAAUUUAGUUCUAAUUUGAAUUUGAAUUAUGGACAUAGCAUUCUGGACUUGAUCAAUUUUCACUUUCCUCUAAAAGUUUCAAUUUUGUUGCAUUAAAUGGCUUAGACUUUUGAGAAAUGAUUCGGUACUUUUUUUAAAAAAAUAUAAAAAAAUCUUAACCGUUGAUUAAUAAAGGGUAAAAAUGUAACUUUAAUACUUAGCAGGUAAAAGGAUUAUUUUAUUCAAGGUUAGUUUGGUAAUUAAAUAAUAUAAUAUUUAAAGAAACUUUUAAUUGAGGUCCUAAAUUUAUGCAUUAAUUAGUACUAAUUUAGGAAAUUAAUUGAUUAACCAAAUUUAUGAAAUUAUUAGGCAUUAAUUUAGGAAUCUACUUUAAAUGUUUUAGUGUUUCUCAAAUUAUGCAUUAAUUUAAAUUAUAGAAAUUUUAGAAAUAGUUUUAUUUCUAAAUACGAUGAAUUUAAAUUUUAAAAAUUAAAUACUUAAAAUUUAAAAGUGAAAUUUAAAUUAGAGGAAUUUCAUAUUACUAUUUAAAAACUAAAUUUCACUGAGAUUUAAAAUA